Molecule: long non-coding RNA, 3489 nt
Filed under: Prunus dulcis (almond)
Lineage: Eukaryota; Viridiplantae; Streptophyta; Magnoliopsida; Rosales; Rosaceae
Description: sRNA ncRNA
Source: RNAcentral
CAGGAAGAGCACACCUAGCUCGAUCAUCAAAAACCCUCCACUCAGUUAUGGCAUUGCAAUUCCGCUCUUUGCUCUUGUGUAUGGUGCUGCUGCUCCUUGGCUUUGCAUUGGCAAAUACCAAUGCUGCCAGGACAGAUCCACCCAUUGUUUGCGCAACUCUCAACAGGACCCAUUUCGAUACUCUUUUUCCAGGGUUCACAUUUGGUGCAGCCACAGCAGCUUACCAAGUCAGUGCAUUCUGGGAGCUUAAUUAAUAUUACUCAUGAAUUUGUUUUAAUUUUUUGUUUCAUAUAGUUACUUUACUUAGCAUGUGUCAUUUAUGAAUAUUGGCAUCUUCAUUCUGUAAAUCGUGUUUUAUAUGUAUAUCUGUAUGUGCAUUUCAGUUAGAAGGUGCUGCAAACAUAGACGGUAGAGGACCAAGCGUAUGGGAUAACUUCACCCAUGAGCAUCCAGGUCUGUUGAAUCAAACAAUCAAUUAGUUAACAAAUCUUCUAUUUUCUAUUUUUUUAGGUGACUAAAUUGAUGAUCAGUUACUUCAUUUCAAAAGCUAUAAUAAACAAGCCAAUGCUUCAUGGAAAUUAGUUAUUCUUCACUUACAAAGUGCUCAAUGGGAACUGCGCAGAAACUAUGACCUUACCCUAGAUCAAAGAAGAUAAUUAGAAAGUUGUAAAAAAUUGAAUAAGGGUAAUCAUGGAAAAUAAAACUCAAAUUUUUUAAUGUAUUAAUAUAUCAUUCAAAAAUGUAAUUAAGAGGAAUAAUACAUCGCACAUGAGAAGAAGUGAGAAGUUCCAACCAAGAUGGUUAGGUUGAAGGUUGCUAGCAUUCCCCUGUUUAAAUAUCUAGAUAGAUAAAUUACUUUGUAUCUUUAUUUAUAACUAAAAUUACAUUUGAUUAAUUGCAGAAAAGAUAACUGAUGGUAGCAAUGGAGAUGUUGCUAUUGAUCAAUAUCACCGUUAUAAGGUUUGAAAAUCACAUAAUUGUAUUAUGUAGACCUUCUAUAUUUGAAUUUGAACACUACGACAUUAAGGAUGAUAUCCUUAAUUUUUAGUUAUGUACAUCUUUUGUGUCAUUAUAGGAAGAUGUGGCAAUUAUGAAGGAUAUGGGGUUGGAUGCUUAUAGGUUCUCUAUCUCAUGGUCCAGAUUGUUACCAAGUAAGUUGAUCAUCCGCAUCCACAUAUAUUAUUGCGACCAAUCGCUUUAAUGUUUAACAUCUUUUAUUCAAUUUAAUUCCUAUUUCAUGAUAGGUAUUGGCUUAUAUUUUUCUUGUUUUGUUUUAAUUAUUAUUAGAUGGAAAACUAAGUGGUGGAAUUAACAAGAAGGGAAUCGAAUACUACAAUAAUCUCACCAAUGAACUCCUACGCAAUGGUGAUACAGCUCCCAAUCUCAUAAAAUCCUCCUAAUAUAACAACAGUACCUGCAGUUGUUUAAUCAAACUUCUAAUUUUCUUUUACUGGUCAUGCUAUAUAUAUAUAGGUAUAGAGCCAUUAGUGACACUCUUCCACUGGGAUGUUCCCCAAGCCUUAGUAGAUGAAUAUGGUGGUUUGUUAAGCCCUCGUAUUGUGUAAGUGGACAAAUUCCAUCCUUUGUAUAAUAUUGAUCACUUAAUUAUAUAAAUACUAUUAUAUACAAUAAAUACAUAUUUCAAUGUGUACACGCAGCGAUGACUUUAAAGCAUACGCAGACCUUUGUUAUAAGGAAUUUGGUGAUCGAGUAAAGCAUUGGACCACACUUAAUGAGCCAUAUACCAUUAGUAACCAUGGUUACACAAUCGGGAUCCAUGCACCAGGACGAUGCUCUGAUUGGUACAACCCAAAAUGCCUUGGUGGAGAUUCGGGUAUUGAACCAUAUUUGGUGACACACUAUCUACUCCUUGCUCAUGCAGCUGCUGUAAAAUUGUACAGAGAAAAAUAUCAGGUACUUCCGUUAGUCUUUUUUCUUUUUCUUUUAGAAAUUGAGGUCCAACGAGUAACUAGUAUUAUUAUGUAACAACAUAAGUGGGAAUACUUUUUAUUUUGAGAAAAACGACGGUUGUAAUAAUAUAAUUUUUUUUUUCUUUGCAUUAAAUCAACAAAUUUUUUAUUUUUUAUUUAUCUCUCUGGAGCAGGCAUAUCAAAAUGGUGUCAUAGGAAUAACUGUUGUAUCACAUUGGUUUGAGCCCGCUUCAGAGUCACAACAAGAUAAAGACGCUGCAUUUCAAGCUUUGGAUUUUAUGUAUGGAUGGUAAGUGUAUUAUUAAUUUAUAUAUCAACUCAUUUAAAUGCUUCAUUUUUGAAUUAUAACUUCGGUUAGGUAGCCUGUGGUAGUUUAUAUAAUGUUAUAAGUUCACGUUUGGAAUUUUCAUAGGUUUAUGGACCCAUUGACAAGAGGUGACUACCCGCAGAUCAUGCGAUCCAUUCUUGGUGCACGGUUACCGAAUUUCACGGAAGAACAAUCUAAGUCACUGAGUGGGUCAUAUGACUAUAUUGGAGUAAACUACUACUCUGCUAGAUAUGCAAGCGCUUAUCCUAAGGAUUAUUCUGUAACUACACCUCCAAGCUACCUAACAGAUGUUCAUGUUAAUGUUACAAGUGAGUACAAAUUGAAAAUUUCAAGAAAUUAAUGUAGUUCUCCAAAUACUUAGAUCCUAAUAUUCAUAUUCAUUUAUGUUGUAGCAGCUGAUCUUAAUGGGGUCCCCAUUGGUCCACGGGUACGCAAUAGAUUAUUAGCUUAAGUUAUUGGGAUUUUGAGAAUUAAUAGCUAUAUAUGCAUAUAUUUUGUUUUCCAUAUACACAUAAAGUGCUAAAAGUCUCAUUGAUCUUCAAAUGGGAUUGCAGGCUGCUUCAGACUGGUUAUAUGUUUACCCAAAAGGACUUUAUGAUCUUGUACUCUACACAAAGGAAAAGUAUAAUGAUCCAAUUAUGUACAUUACUGAGAAUGGUACGUAAUUAAUAUUUUUAAACAUUAAUUAAUUGCAUCAUCAAUGUUUCACAUUUAUGUAUAAUGGUGUAAAAUAAAGUGAAGUGUUGUAAACUCUAAACUUAAAACUAAAUGUACAUUUUUUCUUCGGUUAAACAAUUUGUAUGCAUUUGAUACUGCAUUAUAUUGCAGGCAUGGAUGAGUUCAAUAAUCCCAAAUUAUCACUCGAGCAAGCCCUUAAUGAUGGUAAUAGAAUUGACUACUACUAUCGCCACCUCUGUUACCUCCAAGCAGCAAUGAAGUAAGUUUUUGUCAACAAAUUAAUUAAGGCUAUAUAUGUUUUGGCCUUCUUACAUUUCGGUUAUUUAAUCACUAUAUUGAACCAAUUAUGUUCUUCUUCUUUUUUGGGUGUUUGUAGGGAGGGUGCUAAUGUGCAGGGAUAUUUUGCAUGGUCUUUGCUAGACAACUUUGAAUGGAGCGAAGGAUAUACUGUUCGAUUUGGUAUCAAUUAUAUUGAUUAUGACAAUGGACUGGAAAGACACUCAAAACUCUCGACGCACUGGUUCAAAAGUUUUCUCAAGAGAUCCUCAAUUA